RNA transcript from Pecten maximus, 2516 nucleotides. It is a transcript of the gene named polyamine oxidase 4-like, with no coding region annotated. The transcript has 8 exons. The record is from RefSeq and is a predicted model, not a curated record. Lineage: Eukaryota; Metazoa; Mollusca; Bivalvia; Pectinida; Pectinidae.
AAUUUUGAAUGACAGUUACCUAUUUUUCAGUUUUAGAUAUGGAGAGAAUAUUUGUUCAGUUGUGUCUACUGCUGCUUAUGUUCAGUACUGAGGUUAGUAAAUCAGACUCGCCUCAUCAACCAAAGGAAGUACUGGUGAUUGGUGGAGGGAUCUCUGGACUAGCUGCGGCCAGGAAACUGGUCAACCAUCCUUCACAGCUGUAUGAUGUUACAGUCCUGGAAGCUAGAAAAGAACGAUAUGGUGGCCGUGUGUGGACAAGCAGGAAACUUUUCAAGAAACCUAUUGGUGCAGAGACUGACCUUGGUGCCACCUGGAUCAAUUCUAAGGAGAAGGAUAACCCUAUCUUAGCCAUUACAAGGAAAGGAGAGAUAGAGACUAAAACAUCGGGUCCUAUCCAGCUUCAUGUUCCAGAGGCUGGCAAGAUUUUCACGGGUGAUGAGGCCAACAAAAUAUUCACAGAAGUUUUCUCUAUGAUGCAGUCUGCAGUAGACAGAGUAAAAGCCACUGGUAUAGAUGUCCCCCUACAGAAGGCUGUUGAGGACGAGAUCACACGUCACACAUUCCAGGGUGACCGUGCCAUCAUCACGAGUAUUCUACGUAAUCAUCAGGCUGUCACCAAGGCAGAUUACUCUGCCAUGUUCUUUGACCCGGUAAAACUAUUUGGCUGGAAUACGGUCGUGGUGGAUGGAUUUGACCAAGUUCUAGAUGCUAUUGUAUCUGGUCUGGGAACGGAGAAACCUUUGUCCGUCAGCCUUAACCAAGUGGUCAGACAAAUCCAUAUUAACUCCGACAAGAAAAAGGUGAUUGUCCGUACCAAGGACCUGACACAGGUAGAGGCUGACCUUGUGAUUGUGGCUGUUCCAGUCGGCGUGUUGAGGAAUGAGGCCCUUCUCUUUGAUCCUGUGCUUCCUGGAGAAUGGUACAAGGCAAUGAAGGAGUUAGGUGUAUACCAAUCACAGAAAGUCAUCGUUGGCUUCUCUGAGGUGUUUUGGCCGACUGACAUCGGAGUGUUUACCAUGACAACACCAGAGGGGCAGGAGCCAUUCAUCCAGACUUGGUUCAACAUGCAGAAUCUUGUUGGUAUGCCAUUCCUGAUUGGUACGUUGUACGACGAAGCAGCCGUCAGUAUGGAACAAACACCUGUAGAGGAACUUAAACAACAAGUGAUCAAAGUUUUGGGGAAGUUGUUUGGUGAAGAUUUGGUGUCCCAGUAUAAUAUGACUACAUUGGUGAGAUCACAGUGGACAAGUGACCCUUUUACCUUGGGAUCUGGUGCUUAUCCACGGACAGGUAAUGUCCCUGGUAUGUGGGAUACUCUGAGCCCUCCUGUCUGACUCUAUUUUAGGUAAUGUCCCUGGUAUGUGGGAUACUCUGAGCCCUCCCUGUCUGACUCUAUUUUAGGUAAUGUCCCUGGUAUGUGGGAUACUCUGAGCCCUCCUGUCUGACUCUAUUUUAGGUAAUGUCCCUGGUAUGUGGGAUACUCUGAGCCCUCCUGUCUGACUCUAUUUUAGGUAAUGUCCCUGGUAUGUGGGAUACUCUGAGCCCUCCUGUCUGACUCUAUUUUAGGUAAUGUCCCUGGUAUAUGGGAUACUCUGAGCCCUCCUGUCUAACUCUAUUUUAGGUAAUGUCCCUGGUUUGUGGGAUACUCUGAGCCCUCCUGUCUGACUCUAUUUUAGGUAAUGUUACUGGUAUGUGGGAUACUCUGAGCCCUCCCAUCUGACUCUAUUUUAGGUAAUGUUACUGGUAUGUGGGAUACUCUGAGCCCUCCUGUCUGACUCUGUUUUAGGUAAUGUCCAUGGUAUGUGGGAUACUCUGAGCCCUCCUGUCUAACUCUAUUUUAGGUAAUGUCCCUGGUAUGUGGGAUACUCUGAGCCCUCCUGUCUGACUCUAUUUUAGGUAAUGUUACUGGUAUGUGGGAUACUCUGAGCCCUCCUGUCUGACUCUAUUUUAGGUAAUGUCCCUGGUAUGUGGGAUACUCUGAACCCUCCCGUCUGACUCUAUUUUAGGUAAUGUCCCUGGUAUGUGGGAUACUCUGAGCCCUCCUGUCUGACUCUAUUUUAGGUAAUGUCCCUGGUAUGUGGGAUACUCUGAGCCCUCCUGUCUGACUCUGUUUUAGGUAAUGUCCCUGGUAUGUGGGAUACUCUGAGCCCUCCUGUCUGACUCUAUUUUAGGUAAUGUCCCUGGUAUGUGGGAUACUCUGAGCCCUCCUGUCUGACUCUAUUUUAGGUAAUGUCCCUGGUAUGUGGGAUACUCUGAGCCUCCUGUCUGACUCUAUUUUAGGUAAUGUUACUGGUAUGUGGGAUACUCUGAGCCCUCCCAUCUGACUCUAUUUUAGGUAAUGUCCCUGGUAUGUGGGAUACUCUGAGCCCUCCUGUCUGACUCUAUUUUAGGUAAUGUCCCUGGUAUGUGGGAUACUCUGAGCCCUCCUGUCUGACUCUAUUUUAGGUAAUGUCCCUGGUAUGUGGGAUACUCUGAGCCCUCCUGUCUGACUCUAUUUUAGGUAAUGUCCCUGGUAU